RNAcentral lists this transfer-messenger RNA (202 nucleotides) under Wolbachia endosymbiont of Drosophila melanogaster. RNAcentral's name for it is "transfer-messenger RNA Wolba_sp_Dme". It matches the Rfam family "Alphaproteobacteria transfer-messenger RNA", at positions 148 to 355 of the family's 355-position model. Rfam says of the family: Bacterial tmRNA, also known as 10Sa RNA or SsrA, is named for its dual tRNA and mRNA-like properties. Its role is to liberate the mRNA from a stalled ribosome. Lineage: Bacteria; Pseudomonadati; Pseudomonadota; Alphaproteobacteria; Rickettsiales; Anaplasmataceae. The record is from RNAcentral.
GGGGACGAAUAAGGAUCGACAUGCAUAGUAAAGAUGGUAGCUUUGCUCGGUUAGACACCACCGCUAAGAGUUCAUAAUUUAAAUGCAAACGAUAAUUUUGCUGCUGAAGACAAUGUCGACGCAAUAGCUGCUUAAUUUAAGCACUAUAACUUCAUUGCUAUAAGCACGGUUCAGGGAACGCCGGGUAACAGAAGUUCCCCAA